This 222-nucleotide ribosomal RNA is filed under the name uncultured bacterium. Its description in RNAcentral is "partial 16S ribosomal RNA". It matches the Rfam family "Bacterial small subunit ribosomal RNA", at positions 304 to 526 of the family's 1533-position model. The record is from RNAcentral.
GCCUCCCCUCCGCCGCCACUCAGACUCCUACGGAGGCGAGCAUGGGAAGUGUUCGUCAAUAGGCGGCAAGCCUGACGACGCAACGCCGCGUGGAGGAGUGAAGAUCUUCGGUCGUAACUCCUUUCGAUCGAGACGAAUGGCCUCCGGGUGAACAGUCCGGAGGAAUGACGGUACCGAGAGAAGAAGCCCCGGCUAACUCCGUGCCAGCAGCCGCGGUAAUAC